Molecule: transfer RNA, 73 nt
Filed under: Candidatus Cloacimonas sp. 4484_209
Lineage: Bacteria; Pseudomonadati; Candidatus Cloacimonadota; Cloacimonadia (SeqCode); Cloacimonadales (SeqCode); Cloacimonadaceae (SeqCode)
Description: tRNA-Lys
Rfam family: tRNA
About the family: Transfer RNA (tRNA) molecules are approximately 80 nucleotides in length. Their secondary structure includes four short double-helical elements and three loops (D, anti-codon, and T loops).
Source: RNAcentral
GGGCCGUUAGCUCAGUAGGUAGAGCAUCGGACUUUUAAUCCGAGGGUCGCGCGUUCGAAUCGCGCACGGCUCA